CGGGAAGGGACAAAAGCUGUGGACCAGAUGAAUGUAUCUGGAAUGAGUUUGUUUCACAAAAGCAUUGUUGUCAGCAUGAGGAACACAAUCACAGUUCGUCGCCAUGAGACAGUGGUGAUAAUGAGCGGCUGGUGGGCUGAUUCUUUUCCUGAGUUACGCCUGCUGAAUGGGGUCAGACUCAUUCCUGUCAUAGAAUCAUAGUUCUGGAAUGGACCUUGGAGGUGAGGUAGUCCAACCCACAGCACAAUGAAGGAUAUGAAAGUAGAGCAUCCCUGGCAGACACUGCCUCUGCUCAAAUACCUCCAAUGAAGGAGGAACUUCUACCUCCUGAGACAGGAAGAGCUCUUACAUUUCUGCUAACAUUUAGCAGAGAUCUGUUUAUCUGCAAUUUCCAUCUAUCGGUUCUUGUUUCUUAUCUGGAGCAAUUGUCUUCUCCAUCUUCUUCAUUCCAGCCCCUCACUGCUCUUAUGCUUGCAGAACCCGGCGUGGUAGAACAGUGGUAGUGCUUGGGGAAUAGACCCUAACAAAGGGACACGCCUGUGCCAGUGGAGCACUGCUGGUGUAAGGAGCAAAAAAUACAGAGGGAGGAAAGUGGCUUAGGCAGAACCCUGGUAUGCCAGCUGAUUCAGUGGCUCAAUUUGUAGAGGUCAGACACAUUUCUGACAGCACUGAAGCACUACAGCUCGAUCCAAAACAUAUUUAUAUGCCACUUUUCUGGGCAAAUCCCACCCAAAACAGCUUUUAAGUAAGGCUCCUGCCCUUAAUGUACUUACUUUGAUGUAUAUCUUCUGGAAAUCAUUUUUUUUACUUUCCUCUGAGUAAAUAUAUUUAGGAUUUGGGUGCAAACAUGAAAUAUUAAAAUGUUUCGGUUUGGGAAAGUGUAAUGUUUGAGAAAGAGCUCGCUCUCUCAGAAUCUGCUUUGCUGAUCCCUGCUGUAUCUUUUUCAGGUGGCUCCACUGAUGAGGCAGGGAAAUUACAGAGCAAGAGGCAAAACCAGAAGAUCCGAAAGAGAGAGAACAUGUUCAGAAAGAGAUGGGUUUACUGUGUGUGUGAAGUAGGGAGAACUAAGAUCUGAAGGACUGCAGGAGGAAUACAGAUAAGGAAGUUCCUUCACCUCUGUAUUAAAUUUCUUCCAUACUUAAGAUUCUGUUGCAUCACAAGAUUGCGGGGAGGAGUUACUCCCUUAUUAUUCUUUGGAGAAGCUCAGAACCAUCAGAUAAACUUCUUGUUUUCCUAUGAAAAUCUCAGUACUGUUGUAGCAGGAGCUAUAGUUCAAUGCGCACAGUUCCCUCUGGAAAUGCCUGUCAGGUCUUCAGUGAUUGGCAAACAGAGAUUAAACUGCCACAGUGCCUUUGUAUUUGGAGUUCUGGGGGGAAUGUGCACACAGAGAUAAUAAAGAAACAUGCUGUAGUGAGGAAUACAUAAUACCUGUAAAAUAUCUGGAGGGAAAAUUUGCUGCGCACAGUCCAGUUAAACACUUUUAAGCGCUGUGGAGAAAGGAGAAUUUACAUGACUGGCUGCUCCAAUAGGUCUCUGGUAGCUGCAUUCUAGACCACCUGAGAUUUCUGAACCGUCUUUUAAAGGUAGCCUACGUAGUCUAGUCUGGACAUGACCAGAUCAUGAAUCACUUUACCAAGGUGCCACUUUUCAGACAGAAGCACAUGUUUCCUAGACUUGGCGGUGGCGGUGGGGUGUUUGUUGGGAAG
This 1706-nucleotide long non-coding RNA is filed under the name Podarcis lilfordi (Lilford's wall lizard). The record is from RNAcentral. Lineage: Eukaryota; Metazoa; Chordata; Lepidosauria; Squamata; Lacertidae.